GGCUGCCCCUCACCUCCCGCUCCGCCGUUCGGAAUCCCCGCGCCUCCGUCACGUGACCCCCCUCCGACACCCUCACGCACGGUGCGUGACUUCCGCCAGGAGCUCUCGCGAGAGCUGCCGCGGUUGUCCAGGGAGCGGGGUGGGGCGGUGGGCCCGGGCCUGGGCGAGCCCGCCCCGCCGGGGAACGAGGGCUCCGGUGCUAUCGCCUGUGAGCUGCAGCGGAGGCCCGAGCGGCCCCGGGCAGGAAGGGACCGAGUCCGGUGGGGUUCGGGCCCUGCCAGGCCUGGAGGGAAGCGGGACCCGGGCCUGGGGAGGACCCCGCCCCGGUCGGACGCUGGGCGGUUCAGCUGGAGGGUUCCGCAGCCGCUGCCCACCGGGGAAGCUUCCGAAAGUCCGCAGCACAGCUUUGUGGUGUAGCCAGCCCUGCAUCGCAGCCGGGCGAGGGAGGGGAUUGUCCCGCUCUGCCCCGCGCUGGGGCGGCCUCACCUCGAGUGCUGGGCGCAGUGUUGGGCGCCGCAGUACUUCAAGGAUAUAAAGCUACUGGAGAGUGUCCAGGGAAGGGCUGUGAACUUGUUGAAGGGUUUAGAGCAGAAACCGUAUGAGGAGAGGUUAAAGUCGCUUGGUUUGUUCAGCCUGGAGAAGAGGAGGCUGAGGGCAGCCCUCAUCGCGGCCUGCAGCGUCCUCCCAAGGGGAGGAGGGGGGGCAGGUGCUGAUCUCUUCUCUCUGGUGACCAACGACAGGACCCGAGGGAAUGGCAGGGAGAUGUGCCAGGGGAGGUUUAGGUUGGAUAUUAGGAAAAGGUUCUUCCCCCAGAGGGUGGUGGAGCGCUGGAACAGGCUCCCCAGGGAGGCAUCACGGCACCAGCCUGACGAUAUUAAAGAAGCACUUGGACAAUGCCCUCAGAGACAUGGUGUGAAUUUUGGGGUUGUCCUGUGCAGGGACAGGAGUUGGACUCAAUGAUCCUUGCGGGUCCCUUGCAACUCAGGACAUUCUAUUGUUCCUGUGCCUGGGGCGGAGGCCAGGGUUUGGCCGCGAAGAAGAAGAGUGACAAUAUGGAUGGUAAAAGUAUCAAAGCAGCUGCAUUUCUAAAGCCUCUCAGCCUUGUUUGGUGUCCCUGGAGCGUGUGAGCACUCCUGGGCAGGGGCUGUCCAGGGCCGGUGUUUCUCCCCUUCACUAACGACUCAGAGGAGCCCUGUGAUAAGGAAUGCCCUUGACAAGAAUUUGUCUCCAGUGCUCUGCUUUGUACUGUGCGUCUGCCACCCUCCAGUGGUUCUGCAUAAAGGAGAAGGUGGAAUACUAUGGGAUUCUUUGUUGAAAUUCUCAGCAUUGAAAUAUAAGGGUUCCUGUGUCAUUAUAUUGAGCUUUGUAGCUUCUGCAUUAAGAACAGUAAUGAAUUGUGACGGGUGUCUUUUGUUAGGGGUGGAUGUGCUGCUCCUUUGUUCCCUGCUUUGCUCCAGCACAAUUCUGUCAGCCUUCAGUCCCUUGUAUCCGUGCACAUGGCCAGGAACGGCUGCAUCAGCAUUUCAGUUGCUCAGUCAGGGUUGGUUCCACAUGUGUGUGAUUGUGGUGAACUCUGAGCUGCCCUGGAUUGGUGGAUUACUCAGUUUGUAGGACUCUAGCAGACCAGGUGUUUGGUUAGGGGAGCUUACGGGUGUUGCUGUUUUGGUUGCGAGCCUUCAAAGUCUUUGAGCAGAAUUCGCCUGGAUUGUAAACUGUCUCUAAUUGUAGCAAAUGGGCUAGGGAGCGUGGAGUUGUGCCUUAAGACCUUCACAGCGCACCACACAAAAUAUAACAACUGAUUUUGUUUCUGUUUCUGACUCUGAACUCUUUACCUUGAUACCAGUCAUGCAAAAUUCAGCUGCAGAAGAAAUGGCUUUGUAUAGAUUGUAAAAUGAGAGUGUGGGUUAAGGUAUUUAUAAUGGAGAAUAAAGGUUUAAAACUCAUCAUAAA
Phalacrocorax carbo (great cormorant) is the source of this 1950-nucleotide non-coding RNA. The record is from RefSeq and is a predicted model, not a curated record. Lineage: Eukaryota; Metazoa; Chordata; Aves; Suliformes; Phalacrocoracidae.